This 348-nucleotide ribosomal RNA is filed under the name Vibrio parahaemolyticus. Its description in RNAcentral is "partial 23S ribosomal RNA". It matches the Rfam family "Bacterial large subunit ribosomal RNA", at positions 2601 to 2925 of the family's 2925-position model. The record is from RNAcentral. Lineage: Bacteria; Pseudomonadati; Pseudomonadota; Gammaproteobacteria; Vibrionales; Vibrionaceae.
CGAGCUGGGUUUAGAACGUCGUGAGACAGUUCGGUCCCUAUCUGCCGUGGGCGUUGGAAGAUUGAAGGGGGCUGCUCCUAGUACGAGAGGACCGGAGUGGACGAACCUCUGGUGUUCGGGUUGUGUCGCCAGACGCAUUGCCCGGUAGCUAAGUUCGGAAUCGAUAACCGCUGAAAGCAUCUAAGCGGGAAGCGAGCCCUGAGAUGAGUCUUCCCUGAUACUUUAAGUAUCCUAAAGGGUUGUCGGAGACUACGACGUUGAUAGGUCAGGUGUGUAAGUGCUGUGAGGCAUUGAGCUAACUGAUACUAAUUGCCCGUGAGGCUUAACCAUACAACACCCAAGGGGUUU